Non-coding RNA from Physcomitrium patens, 1704 nucleotides. The record is from RefSeq and is a predicted model, not a curated record. Lineage: Eukaryota; Viridiplantae; Streptophyta; Bryopsida; Funariales; Funariaceae.
CUCUUUGCCUUUCAUCAAAGUGAGGGUCAGCCCCUUCCACUCGAUGCGACCAUAAUCCUGAAGGCUAUGCCAUAUUCUUUCCGCCAUUUGUUCAUAAGGCCAGUCCUCGGCCUUGAAAACCAUUGCAUUACGUUCGAUUCACAACUCCCAAAUCGCAAUGCUCCUGAGGAGGGUCCAAAUUAAUUUUACAUUGCCAAAUUUUUUAGGCAGAUUUUUGGAGAAUACACAAUGGUUUCACGCUAUUCAAGUUCGUGUGGGUGGUUCCGCUGGCUUACUUUGCAGAACAUGUAUCAAGUUUGCACACCAUUGCUAGAUUUGAUUUGCACGGGGGUACUCCUAUCUAUGCAUAAUGGUUUUGGCAUAUCCGGGACAGAAGGAGCACACUGUGUUGAUGCGAGUAGGAGGUGAUUGCCGGGCCACUCGAAUCGUUUUGGAUCGAAGUGGAGGUCUGCUAUCGGCCCAUAAUAAUAGUGUUUGGUAUUGUCGCACUCUUUUUAUUAUUUCCAGUACUCGGAUAAUUCGGAUUGUGCCGGUGAUUGUUGCUUUCUUGGGAUUGACUGCACGUUGAACCUACUAUGAGGCUUGCUGAGAAGUAAGCCAAAGCUGUAUAUCUAGGAUUUCAGCUAGUGUUUGGGUCGCUACUGUGAUUAGGUAGAGGUCAGACGGGAGAUCUGUAAUCGGCAUGGUGAAUUCCCUGUUACAUGGUAAAAAAUUUCGGCUGGGACGACAAGAGCAAGGGUGUGGCUCUGGGUUGAUGGGAACAAACCCAGCCAAUCGAAGCGGCCUAAGGAACUAACUUCUUGGUGAAGGAUGCCCCCAGAAUGGUCUGUCAAUGCGGAAUAAAUGGUCUCCCACCUUGGAGAUUCUUUGUCUCGGAGACGGAAGCGUGUUUGUGCGACUUGGCAGGGAAGUGGGCUGGAUAUGGUGUCACACCAACAGUCGCGAACUGUGUGUAGCCUUGUGUUGAAAAGCUCUAUCGCCAGGGCUUUGGAGAAUGCAGGUUGUAUGCUCGUGAAUUUGGGGCUGUGCAAGAGUUUGACAGUUGAUACCACUUUGAAAGUGGAACCUUUGUGACCUGGUUCCCAACUUUAGAGCCAGGGAAGCUUUGGUAUUUGCGGAGCACGGGACACUGUGGAUGGGCUGCCCAGCAGCCUCCCUUCUUCGGUUGGUAGCAAGCAAGUCUGUAUUUGAGGAACUGUUGUAAGUUAGAGUGACCCAGUUCGAAAGCUUUGAUCGACCAUUUGCUAAGGAGAGCUGUCAUGGUGCUAUCAAGAUCCGUGAGGCUGAGACUCUUAGUUUUUUCUUCCGGACGCAGAUAUUCCAUGCCACUUGGGUACUGGUCCUUUGUUCAUGCCCUGUCCAUAGGUAGUUGCUAAGAAGGCUUUUAACUUGUUUGACAACUCUCUUAGAGCCUGCCCAAACACCAAUGAAAUACCAUAGGGUUGACAUGAGUACUUGGUUGACAACUAGGUGUCUUCUAAAGAUAACUUGACAAAGUUCUAGUAGGUGAGUGUUUUUUUUUUUUUUUUUUUUUUUUUUUCUUUCACUUGAGUAAGGAAGAACUUAUCAAUGUCUUUGGUGGAAACUCCUAGUUCAAAAGGAAUUCCUAGAAGUUUAGCUAAGUAUCCUUCUUCUAUCCAUGUCCAUUCAUAAAUUUGUAUUGAAUGUAAGAGGGGGCCUGUUCUUCUCACCCAAUAUGUACUA